Molecule: ribosomal RNA, 160 nt
Filed under: Kalmia latifolia
Lineage: Eukaryota; Viridiplantae; Streptophyta; Magnoliopsida; Ericales; Ericaceae
Description: 5.8S ribosomal RNA
Rfam family: 5.8S ribosomal RNA
About the family: 5.8S ribosomal RNA (5.8S rRNA) is a component of the large subunit of the eukaryotic ribosome. It is transcribed by RNA polymerase I as part of the 45S precursor that also contains 18S and 28S rRNA. Functionally, it is thought that 5.8S rRNA may be involved in ribosome translocation.
Source: RNAcentral
AAACGACUCUCGGCAACGGAUAUCUCGGCUCUUGCAUCGAUGAAGAACGUAGCGAAAUGCGAUACUUGGUGUGAAUUGCAGAAUCCCGUGAACCAUCGAGUCUUUGAACGCAAGUUGCGCCUGAAGCCAUUAGGUUGAAGGCACGCCUGCCUGGGCGUCA